This 1396-nucleotide long non-coding RNA is filed under the name Nicotiana benthamiana. Its description in RNAcentral is "long non-coding RNA (NBEN_LNC033573)". Lineage: Eukaryota; Viridiplantae; Streptophyta; Magnoliopsida; Solanales; Solanaceae. The record is from RNAcentral.
AUAAUUUAUCCAUAUAUUGUUCAUAUGUAUGUAGAUAUAAGUCCAUAUAUCUUACACAGAAAGGUCCAUUAAAAUUUAUGGGGUUCUCAUGUUUCUUUAUUUCUUGGAUAAGCCAAAACAGUGAAUUGUACUCUGAUCAAAUCUAUCAAUGUGUAAACAUGGAGAAUCGGAGAUGGGAGAAGAGAGAGAACUCAUCUCUUUCUGAAUUGAUAAAAAUGAACAAAUGAAUGAACCGUCUCUUUUCUAGAACCCUCUGACCCCUAUAUCGAAUAUUACUGACCCUAAUAUCUGGGUCAGUCUUUACAAAACGGAUUGGGCCGAAACAGACCCGAAACUAAAGCAGGCCCAAAAAUAAAAUAGUAGCCCAAUGUGCAGUAUACAUACAAUAUAUUAUAGUGAUACAAUGAAAAUACAAUAAUUAUCAAUGUAUGUGUUUAGGAUUAGAGGCUAAGUAGUCUUUUAGCUCAACACCCCCCCUCAAGUUGGAGGGGGAGACCACCUUCAACUUGAACAAAAGACGAUGAUGAACAGUGCCAGGCAGAGGCUGGNNNNNNNNNNNNNNNNNNNNNNNNNNNNNNNNCAAAGGCUUGGUGAGAACAUCAGCCAACUGGUGAGAAGUGGAGACAUGAGAAAGGGAAAUCAGACCAUCAGUGAGCUUGGUACGAACAAAAUGACAAUCAACCUCAAUAUGCUUGAUCCGCUCAUGAAAAACUGGAUUCUUAGCAAUAUGGAGGGCAGCCUGAUUGUCACAAUAAACAGAAAAAGGAAAAGAAACAGAAACACCAAGAUCAGUGAGCAAACGAGAAAUCCAAGAUAAUUCAGCAACCACCUUACUGAGUGCCCUGUAUUCUCCCUCAGCAGAGGAUAGAGAGAGCACCUGCUGUUUCUUGGACUUCCAACUGACAGGCUGUCACCCAAAAUCACACAAAAACCAGUAACAGAUCUGCGAGUGUCAGGGCAUGCUGCCCAGUCACCAUCUGAAAAGGCAGUGACUGAAAAAUCAGGACUGUCAUAGUAGAAGAGCCCCAAAUCCAUAGAGCCCUUAAGAUACCUAAGAACAUGUAGAGCAGCAGACAUGUGAGGUAUUCUGGGAGCCUUCAAAAACUGACUCAAAUGUUGAAUAGCAAAACAGAUGUCAGGUCUGAUAUGUGUCAAGAAGAGGAGCUUGCCAAUGAAGCUCCUAUAAUGAUCAGGAGAAGAGAGAAGAUCACCAGAAUUAGCAUGCAAUUUGGUAUUGAGGUCCAAAGGACAGACCACAGGGGAGACAUCUACACAGUCAAACUGAUGCAGCAAGUCAGAGACAAACUUGUGCUGAUUAAGGAGCACACCACCAGCAACAGUGGACACCUCAAUGCCCAGAAAAUAGUGCAAAAACCCAAGGUCUUUGAUUCUGAAU